AAUAUUGGACAAUGGGCGCAAGCCUGAUCCAGCAAUGCCGCGUGGGUGAAGAAGGUUUUCGGAUUGUAAAGCCCUUUUGGCGGGGACGAUGAUGACGGUACCCGCAGAAUAAGCUCCGGCUAACUUCGUGCCAGCAGCCGCGGUAAUACGAAGGGGGCUAGCGUUGCUCGGAAUGACUGGGCGUAAAGGGCGCGUAGGCGGACUGCACAGUCAGGCGUGAAAUUCCUGGGCUUAACCUGGGGACUGCGUCUGAGACGUGUGAUCUAGAGUGAGGAAGAGGGUCGUGGAAUUUCCAGUGUAGAGGUGAAAUUCGUAGAUAUUGGAAAGAACACCGGUGGCGAAGGCGGCGACCUGGUCCUUGACUGACGCUGAGGCGCGAAAGCGUGGGGAGCAA
RNAcentral lists this ribosomal RNA (394 nucleotides) under uncultured Acidiphilium sp. RNAcentral describes it as "bacterial SSU rRNA". It matches the Rfam family "Bacterial small subunit ribosomal RNA", at positions 360 to 771 of the family's 1533-position model. The record is from RNAcentral. Lineage: Bacteria; Pseudomonadati; Pseudomonadota; Alphaproteobacteria; Acetobacterales; Acidocellaceae.